RNAcentral lists this ribosomal RNA (76 nucleotides) under SAR202 cluster bacterium. RNAcentral describes it as "partial 16S ribosomal RNA". It matches the Rfam family "Bacterial small subunit ribosomal RNA", at positions 1 to 73 of the family's 1533-position model. Lineage: Bacteria; Bacillati; Chloroflexota; Dehalococcoidia. The record is from RNAcentral.
UUUUUUUUGAAGAGUUUGAUCCUGGCUCAGGACGAACGUUGGCGGUGUGUCUAAGGCAUGCAAGUCGAACGAGAUC